This 492-nucleotide ribosomal RNA is filed under the name uncultured bacterium. RNAcentral's name for it is "partial 16S ribosomal RNA". It matches the Rfam family "Bacterial small subunit ribosomal RNA", at positions 29 to 507 of the family's 1533-position model. The record is from RNAcentral.
AGUGAACGCUGGCGGUAGGCCUAACACAUGCAAGUCGAACGGCAGCACAGUAAGAGCUUGCUCUUACGGGUGGCGAGUGGCGGACGGGUGAGGAAUACAUCGGAAUCUACUUUUUCGUGGGGGAUAACGUAGGGAAACUUACGCUAAUGCCGCAUACGACCUACGGGUGAAAGCAGGGGAUCCUCGGACCUUGCGCGAUUGAAUGAGCCGAUGUCGGAUUAGCUAGUUGGCGGGGUAAAGGCCCACCAAGGCGACGAUCCGUAGCUGGUCUGAGAGGAUGAUCAGCCACACUGGAACUGAGACACGGUCCAGACUCCUACGGGAGGCAGCAGUGGGGAAUAUUGGACAAUGGGCGCAAGCCUGAUCCAGCCAUACCGCGUGGGUGAAGAAGGCCUUCGGGUUGUAAAGCCCUUUUGUUGGGAAAGAAAAGCAGCAGGUUAAUACCCCGCUGUUCCGACGGUACCCAAAGAAUAAGCACCGGCUAACUUCGUG